UACAGAGGUCCCAAGCGUUGUUCGGAUUCACUGGGCGUAAAGGGUGCGUAGGUGGCCGGUUAAGUCUGACGUGAAAUCUCCGAGCCUAACUCGGAAACUGCAUCGGAAACUAUCCGGCUCGAGGGUUGGAGGGGGGACUGGAAUACUUGGUGUAGCAGUGAAAUGCGUAGAUAUCAAGUGGAACACCAGUGGCGAAGGCGAGUCCCUGGAAAACUCCUGACACUGAGGCACGAAAGCUAGGGGAGCAAACAGG
This 253-nucleotide ribosomal RNA is filed under the name uncultured bacterium. RNAcentral's name for it is "partial 16S ribosomal RNA". It matches the Rfam family "Bacterial small subunit ribosomal RNA", at positions 524 to 776 of the family's 1533-position model. The record is from RNAcentral.